GACAGAGGGUGCGAGCGUUGUCCGGAAUCACUGGGCGUAAAGGGCGCGUAGGUGGUGACCUAAGCGUGCGGUGAAAGCCCGAGGCUCAACCUCGGGUCGGCCGUGCGAACUGGGUCACUGGAGCAGAAUAGAGGCAGGUGGAAUUCCGGGUGUAGCGGUGGAAUGCGUAGAGAUCCGGAAGAACACCGGUGGCGAAGGCGGCCUGCUGGGUUCUGGCUGACACUGAGGCGCGACAGCGUGGGGAGCAAACAGG
RNAcentral lists this ribosomal RNA (253 nucleotides) under uncultured bacterium. RNAcentral describes it as "partial 16S ribosomal RNA". It matches the Rfam family "Bacterial small subunit ribosomal RNA", at positions 524 to 776 of the family's 1533-position model. The record is from RNAcentral.